This 413-nucleotide ribosomal RNA is filed under the name uncultured prokaryote. Its description in RNAcentral is "bacterial SSU rRNA". It matches the Rfam family "Bacterial small subunit ribosomal RNA", at positions 505 to 918 of the family's 1533-position model. The record is from RNAcentral.
GUGUCAGCAGCCGCGGUAAUACGGAGGGUGCAAGCGUUGUUCGGAAUUACUGGGCGUAAAGGGGGUGUAGGCGGCCAGGUAAGUCGGAUGUGAAAGCCCUCGGCUUAACCGAGGAAGUGCAUUCGAAACUGCUUGGCUUGAGUAUGGGAGAGGAAGGUGGAAUUCCCGGUGUAGCGGUGACAUGCGCAGAUAUCGGGAGGAACACCGGUGGCGAAGGCGGCCUUCUGGCCCAAUACUGACGCUGAGACCCGAAAGCGUGGGGAGCAAACAGGAUUAGAUACCCUGGUAGUCCACGCCGUAAACGUUGGGUACUAGGUGUGGGAGGUUAAUACCUUCUGUGCCGCAGCUAACGCAUUAAGUACCCCGCCUGGGGAGUACGGCCGCAAGGUUAAAACUCAAAUGAAUUGACGGGG